Caenorhabditis elegans is the source of this 71-nucleotide non-coding RNA. The record is from the annotation of a RefSeq genome assembly. NCBI's taxonomy places the organism in Eukaryota, Metazoa, Nematoda, Chromadorea, Rhabditida, Rhabditidae.
GCACCAGUGGCGCAGUGGAUAACAGGGAUGACUAGUACGCACAGGUCCGGGGUUCGACCCCCGCCGAGGCC